This 758-nucleotide small RNA is filed under the name Histoplasma capsulatum var. duboisii H88. Its description in RNAcentral is "Histoplasma capsulatum H88 hypothetical RNA". Lineage: Eukaryota; Fungi; Ascomycota; Eurotiomycetes; Onygenales; Ajellomycetaceae. The record is from RNAcentral.
AGGCCCAUGGAUGUUUCGAUUCUAUGUUUCCUCUAGUAUCAAUCGAUGAAACUAAGUCUAAUGACUCAAUUUAUUAAAAGGAUUUUCUGUUCUCUUCUUCUUUUCAUCUCGGCUACGGAAUUACUAUCUUUAGACACUCGAUACGUACUGAAAAGCUCAGUCACGGUGCCUGCAGGCUGGUCGCGAAAAUCAUCUGUAUCCACACAUCGAGUUAUUAGGGUAUGCAUUGGACUCAAGCAACAUGGAUGGGAGACAUUCGAACAACAUCUUAUGGAGAUCUCUGAUCCAUCUCACCCACGAUAUGGGAAGCACCUCUCUUCAAAUGAAGUGAGCCAGUUGGUUAAAGCUGCUCCGGAAUCCUUAAACGCGGUAACCGCGUGGCUUCAAGAAGUUAGUUCCUUUCCACCAAAUUUGACCUUUUCCACUUCGGGAGACUUGGUAUCAUUUAAUGCGCCAAUUGAGGUGGUUGAACGACUGUUUAUGGCAAAGUAUGCAGAGUAUCAACAUGAGGAUGGAUCAACCAUCAUACGGUCUUUGUCAUGGUCCGUGCCUGCCGAUCUAGUCAAUCACAUUGAUGUCGUCGAGCCCACCAAUUCGUUUUUCAAGCCACAUGGACAAUCUAGAUAUGGAGGUCCACCCCCACCAGAUUGGGAAAACGAGCAUCGGAUCCCAACUUAUGAGGAACUGGUAGAAGAGGAUGUGUUAGAACGAGGUCAUCUCGAUAUCCCUCUAGCCCAUGAGCUAUCCCAGGCCCCCAC